RNAcentral lists this ribosomal RNA (292 nucleotides) under uncultured bacterium. RNAcentral describes it as "partial 16S ribosomal RNA". It matches the Rfam family "Bacterial small subunit ribosomal RNA", at positions 505 to 796 of the family's 1533-position model. The record is from RNAcentral.
GUUUAAGCCGCCGCGGUAAUACGUAGGUGGCAAGCGUUGUCCGGAUUUACUGGGCGUAAAGGGCUUGUAGGCGGUCCGUUAAGUCUGGUGUGAAAUCUCCCGGCUCAACCGGGAGGGGUCAUCGGAUACUGGCGGACUAGAGACGGGUAGAGGAAAGCAGAAUUCCCGGUGUAGCGGUGAAAUGCGUAGAUAUCGGGAGGAAUACCAGUGGCGAAGGCGGCUUUCUGGGCCUGUUCUGACGCUGAGGAGCGAAAGCGUGGGGAGCAAACCGGAUUAGAAACCCUCGUAGUCC